AACUACUCCUUUUAUGGGUAACUUAACUAAGCAUGAAGAAAAAUUCUUUGCGUGGAAUUUCUUCAUGCUUUUAUUAUA
RNAcentral lists this antisense RNA (78 nucleotides) under Enterococcus faecium. Its description in RNAcentral is "ctRNA". It matches the Rfam family "ctRNA". From Rfam's summary of the family: Rolling circle replication plasmids contain a number of mechanisms to maintain a low copy number. Lineage: Bacteria; Bacillati; Bacillota; Bacilli; Lactobacillales; Enterococcaceae. The record is from RNAcentral.